Molecule: long non-coding RNA, 1490 nt
Filed under: Cricetulus griseus (Chinese hamster)
Lineage: Eukaryota; Metazoa; Chordata; Mammalia; Rodentia; Cricetidae
Description: lncRNA (ENSCGRG00015040988.1)
Source: RNAcentral
CAUGAACAGCUGGAGGGAUGAGGUGGUUGGCUCACAGACAACAGACUCUGACAGAGCCUCCCAUCCUCCCCAGAUGCACCAAAUUAACUUGGCAUGGUUUUGCAGACGACAAAGUCACGCAUUGCAGAGAGAUGCUUCCCCACUCUCGCCUCUUGUUCCUGAGCUCACAGACCAGGCAGCCCCACCUUCCUGGUUUGUUCAUUCCGUGUUCUUCUAAGAGGAAGGAAACAGCUGUAUUCUUGUCGGAUCUUUACAAGAAGCUCCCUAGGUUCUGAAUCUACACUUCAAAGGGCAAUCACUAACCUAGUUCAGCUGUACUUUAAGAAACAAAUGCUAGGUGCUCAGGUUGUAUUUCUAGCUAUAGGUUUUAUCCUUUCUAGCUAUAUACUUCUAGCUCGGGUUAGACUUCUAGCUGUGUAGAGCAAGGUGGAGCUCACAUGUACAGAGUAUCAUGGAGGACAUCUCUCAUGGAGCCUGCGAUUCUGGACCCACCAAUGAGCCUCAAGAGCAACUUCCUUCAUGCUGUUUGCCACAGUUUCAUCCCCUGGAGCAGGGCAGAGCAAGACCUUCUUGGAGGCCUCUGAGGAAAGUACAUAUUUGCCAAGAAAAGAAUUGUUUGUUUGUCUUGAUCGUCAUAUAGUGAGCUACUUUUAAACUCAGCAGUUUCAAACAAUGAACAGCAUCUCACAGUUCCACAAGCUAGAAACCAGGAGUGACUUCUCUGGUGGCUGUGGCCUGCGGUCUCAGCUAAAUUGUUUACAGGACUGAAGUGAUCUCAAGAGUGCUGGGGAUGAUGUGCCUGCAAACUCAGGCAUGUGGUAGGUAGCUUCGGGGCUUCUUUCCUUCCUGGCUGUGGCUCAGAGACACCAGUUCCUCACAACACAGCCUCUCGCUCCCUGGCUGGUCAUCUUCAGGAUGUGAUGACUAGGUUCUCCCAGGGUGAGUGAGUCAAGAGAAACACAGAGCCCAAGACAGCGGCUACAUGCAGUCUUCUCUGCCCUCAAUUCCAAAGUGACAUCUCAUCAGAAAUCUGCCCUAUGUUGUGUAGCACAGAAGCCUGCAGAAUGUGUCCAGCCUUGAAUUGCUUCAUUUUGUAAAUCCACAGUCAUUUCAAGUAUAGGAACUGAAGGAGAAUGAGUCUGCUUCUUAUUUAUGCACGUAAACAAACCACCAUCUGCCAACAUACCCAGCAAGCACAAACCAAUACAUAAUUCAUCUGUGCUGAUAAAUAAUUACACUUGUAACUAUAUCAAUCAUGUCAGAAACCCCAGAUGUAUGCAUUUAUCUAUCACACCAGGGUCUGGGGAUCUCAUCAUACCCUUUCACAUGGUGCUCAGGAUUUGAACUCAAGUCCUCAUGCUUGCAUCUGGAAUGUUCUUACCCAUUGAGCCACCAUCCUAGCCCCACAGAGUAUGUUAUUUAUAAAGAAGAAAAAUGUUUUUCACAAUUCUGAAGGCUGUAAAUUUCAAGAGAAUGAUGCCAAGAUUUGG